ACUCUCUCUCUCUCUGUGUGCAGUGGCAAAAGAAAAACCUGCUGCUCCAUUAAUCCACAAACACUCAGUCACUCUCUCUCUCUCUGUCUCUCUCUCAUACACAGAGUGACGCAGAGUCUCUCUCUCUCUCUCUUCAUAUAAGAAGAGGUGGAAUUUAUAUAGAGAGGGGGGAGAGGGAAGUGAAAAGCUUGCUGGUGAAUUCAACAGAGUGGCUUUUGAUGCUUUAUCUGGUGGAGGAUUGUACUCCGUAGCUGAUUGUUUUGUGUGUCUAGAGGAAAAAUAUACGAGCUAUGGAUAAUGACUUGAAUAUAGUUCAGCAAGUCAGAUCAGCUCGCCUGAAGGGAAUUCAUCUCAAUAUUUUAUCUGAUGAAGAUGCUCAAUGGUAAUCACUACAGUCAAUGAAGUUUCAGAUGCUGCAUUUGGAUUACCUACUUCAAAUGCCUCAGAAUGCCUUACAUGUGGUGCCAGAAGUUCAAAGGAUUGUGAAGGGCAUUUUGGUUUGAUCAAUUUCCCGUUUACAAUUCUCAAUCCUUAUUUCAUGUCAGAAGUUGCACAAAUUCUUAAUAAAAUCUGCCCAGGAUGUAAAUCAGUUCGGCAUGCUAAGGUCAAGAAAGUGGAUUCCACAUCAAGGCAUCAUCCACCCAGAAGUUGCAGAUAUUGUGCGGGAAGACCAAAAGAUGGUUAUCCGAAGAUGAAAUUUAAAGUGUCCUCAAAAGAUGUUUUCGCGAAAACAGCAAUUAUUGCAGAAGUCAACGAAACAUUGCUGAACAAGAACUCUGUUAGAGGUCUGGCUCCUGAUUAUUGGGAUGUAAUCCCGAAAGAUUCAGCUCAAGAAUUCAGUGGCUUGCCGGCAAACAAAAGAGUGCUAUUGCCUGCUCAAGUCUAUAGCAUUUUGAAACAUGUAUGCCCAAGGGUUCUGGAAGCACUUCUCAAAAGGAAAAACUCAAUCUUUCUAAACUCUUUGCUCGUGACUCCAAAUAGUCAUCGAGUAAGAGAAUUUGGGCAGCGUAUAACUGUUGAUGAAACUACAAAGAUGUACAGAAAGCUUAUUGAUUUUAGAGGUACACCAAAUGAAUUGAGUGCCCGAGUUCUUGAUCGAUAUAAAGUUUCCAAGAUACGCUCUGAAAAGUUGUCAAGUUUAGAAAAAAUAUAUGAGAAGCAAUCAACGAAUGAUUCUGCUUCCAGUGCAUCAGGGCUGAAAAACAUAAAAGAAUUGCUACUUGGAAAGCGGACAGAUCAUUCUUUCCGCAUGGUUGUUGUUGGUGAUCCUAGAAUAAAGGUUGAUGAAAUUGGCUUGCCAUUUCAAAUUGCAGAGAAUGUGCUAAUCUCAGACCAUAUAAAUCUAUGGAAUUGGGAUAGGCUAGAACCAUGCUGUGACUUUAUGCUUUACCGCAGGGGAUACUUUUCUGUUCUAAGGAAUGGUCAGAGGAUUUGUAUUUGGUCUAAGGACAUGUUGCGGACAGGAGAUUCUAUUUGCAGGCCUCUCAUUGAUGGAGAUAUUGUUUUGAUUAAUAGGCCUCCCUCCAUACAUCAGCAUUCACUCAUUGCUUUAUCUGUCAGAAUUCUUCCUAUCAAAUCUGUUGUCUCCAUUAAUCCUCUUGUCUGUUCCCCACUCCGAGGGGACUUUGAUGGAGAUUGUCUCCAUGGUUAUGUUCCACAAUCUGUAACCUCUAGGGUUGAGCUUAAUGAGCUUGUUUCUUUAAACGAACAGUUGCACAAUGGGCAGAAUGGUCGGAACCUUUUGUCACUAAGUCAAGAUAGUCUGACUGCUGCCUAUCUGUUCCUUGAAGAUGGUGUUCUCCUGAAUAAGCCUGAGAUGCAGCAGCUGCAGAUGUUCUGUUCCUUUAUGCCAAUAUUGCCUGCUAUCAUCAAAUCUACUUCAGGGGCUGCUUGGACAGGAAAACAACUAUUUGGCCUGCUUUUACCGCCUGACUUUGAAUUUGCUUAUGCAUCUAAUGAUGUAUGUAUUAGGCAAGGAGAGCUUGUAUCAUCUUCCCAUGGAUCAGCAUGGUUAAGGGAUAGCUGCGAUAACCUCUUUCAAUGUCUGCUCAGACAUUGGCGAGACAAAGUUCUUGACUUCCUGCAUGCUGCUCAGGAAGUUCUUUGUGAGUGGCUGUCAAGGAGGGGACUAAGUGUUUCAUUGUCAGACCUUUACCUUUCUCCUGAUUCACAGUCUCGGAAGAAUAUUCUGGAUGAAAUAUACUAUGGUCUGCUUCAAGCUGAAAAAUUAUCAGAUAUCAGCUUAUUGAUGGUAGAUUGCAACCAAGAUUUUCUUGUAGAAAGCUCUGAAGAGCAUGAAAACAUGAAAAAUUUUCUGAAGGAACACAUGUCGAUUGCCCAACAGACUAAAGCAGAACUUUUUCAAGCUUCCAUUUCUGCUUCCAAGUCAGUUUUCUGGGAUAUGCAGAAUCUUGUUUACAAGUACUCUGACAAAAACAAUUCAUUUAUAGCUAUGCUAAAGGCUGGGAGCAAAGGAAACCUGCAAAAGUUAGUACAGCAUAGCAUGUGUCUGGGCUUGCAGCAUUCAUUAGCUCCCUUGUCUUUUUCAGUUCCCCGUUACCUUUCUUGUGCUUCGUGGAACAAUCAGAAGAACAAUUUCACUGUCCACAAGUUGCAUAAUCAGGAAACCACAGAUUCAUACAUUCCAUGUUCAAUUGUCGCUAACUCCUACUUAGCAGGUCUAAAUCCUCUGGAGAGUUUUGUGCUUUCGCUGACAACCCGUGACAGUUCUUUUAGUGGCCAUGCUGAUGUUUCUGGGACUCUAACCAGAAGGCUAAUGUUUUUCAUGCGAGAUCUAAUAAUUGGAUAUGAUGGAACAGUUAGAAGUUGUUAUGGAAAUCAAGUUGUUCAAUUUGAUUAUUGCACUGAAGACACAUCUGCCACACAUAGUGAUGCUCUUAUGGCUGGACACCCUGUUGGCUCAUUGGCUGCUUGUGCGAUUUCAGAAGCUGCAUACAGUGCUUUGGAUCAGCCAGUCAGCGCACUAGAACCAUCACCUUUGUUAGCUCUAAAGAAAGUCCUGGAAUGUGGAGUGAAAAGGAGUACUGGCUUUAAGAGUGCGUCACUAUUCUUGUCAACAAGACUUCGAAGAUGGGCAAAUGGUUUGGAGUACGGAGCUUUAGAAGUCAAGGAUCAUUUGGAAAGCGUAUUUUUCUCAGACAUAGUUUCAGAAGUGAGAAUAUGUUUCUCCAGGCAGACAAAGAGCAACGCCAGCAUUAGUCCAUGGGCCUGUAUUUUUCAUAUAAACAAGGAAGUUGCCAAGAAGCGAAGGAUCAAAUUGAAAUCUGUGAUCAGAACUCUUUCCAUGAAUAAUGGAUGCACUGGACUAAAAUUUAAAAUAACUCUUCCCAAGUUGCAGAUAACAAGCCAGGUUUGUUCUGAAGCAGACAUCAACAAGACAUCUCACAACAUAAUUUACAUCUCAGCAGCAUUAACUGAAAGCCUCAAAGAGUUUUCCGACCUGGAUAUUCUUCGUGAUAUGGUGAUACCGGUCCUUCUUCGAACUGUAAUAAAAGGAUUUCCGGAAUUUAAGAAGGUUGAUAUCUUGUGGAAAGAUGAAGCAAAUCAUAAAAGAUUCUCCAAGCGCCCUUCAGGGGAACUCUUUUUGCGGGUUGUCAUGUCGGAAUACUGUGACAGGACUAAAUUCUGGAGCAUCCUCAAAGAUAAGUGCCUCAGAAUAAGAAAUAUAAUUGACUGGGAGCGGAGUCAUCCAGAUGAUAUCCAUGAUUAUAGUGAAGCAUAUGGAAUUGACACUGCCUGGCAGUGUUUUGUAAAUAGUCUGCAUUCAGCCAUCAGUGACACGGGCAAGACCAUACUUCCUGAACAUUUAGUUGUCACAGCCAAUUGCCUGUCAACGACAGGAGAAUUUCUGCCAUUAAAUGCGAAAGGCCUCUCACUUCAAAGAAAGGAAGCCAAUAUCCAAGCUCCCUUCAGCCAAGCCUGCUUUUUGAAUCCUAGUGAUUGCUUGGUAAAAGCAGCCAAGAUGGGACAAUUGGAUGCUCUUCAAGGCAGUCUUGAGGCUUUAUCAUGGGGCCAAACUCCAUCAAUUGGAACUGGUUGUCAGUUUGAUAUUAUGUAUAACGGGAAGGGACACGAACCUGAGAAACCUACAGAUGUCUACACUCUGCUGAGCAACCAUGUUAGGUGUGCUAAACCAAAUGAUGUGGCAAAGCACCUUUCUGUAAGACCGAAUGGUCUGUCUCCCAACAUAAAGCAGCGUCAAACUUUGGUUAAAAGAAUGGUUUCACAACAUUUCUCGGUGGUAGGGAUACAAAAAAUUUCACAGAGAUUAAAGCGAAUGCUAAAAGAGUAUCCUAUGAACAGCCAGUUGAAUGGAGAAGAUAAGUCUACUGCAAUGAGGGCUCUGCAGUUUCAUCCUCGUUGGGAAGAGAAGAUUGGAACUGGUGUUAUGGAUAUAAAGGUUGGCCGUCAUCCAGACCACAAAGAAAGCUGCUUUGUCCUCAUAAGAACAGAUGGAACAGAGGAGGACUUCUCAUACAACAAAUGCAUUCAUAAUGCUCUUCAGAUAGUCGCACCCGAGAAAGCAAAAGCUUACCUAUCCAGAAAGGAAAACUUAAACCGUAACCCUGAAGUUGAGGUGGGAUAGUUUUUAUGUCCGUAAAGCUAAAUAAAUUUGGCUGCUUGGGGA
This is a non-coding RNA of Sesamum indicum (sesame), 4648 nucleotides long. Lineage: Eukaryota; Viridiplantae; Streptophyta; Magnoliopsida; Lamiales; Pedaliaceae. The record is from RefSeq and is a predicted model, not a curated record.